This 1162-nucleotide long non-coding RNA is filed under the name Struthio camelus australis. RNAcentral describes it as "lncRNA (ENSSCUG00000011261.1)". The record is from RNAcentral. Lineage: Eukaryota; Metazoa; Chordata; Aves; Struthioniformes; Struthionidae.
CUGAGUGGGAUGCGCAAAUAACGGCAGCUAAAGCCAUGAGCAGAGAUCGAAUGAGGCUUGCUCCCUUUUGGGAAAAACUGAAAUAAAACCACCAUAUGAAUGGGUCAUUGAAAACAGGCUGGAAUAUAUUCCCUAUAGUUAUUCUGAAAGUUCAAGGGCAGGGGAAAAGAAAAAAAGAAGAAGCUGUCUCUGUGUUCACUAAACCUCUAAUAUCUGAAAGUGCUUAAAAAACACACACACACUUUUUUUCAUACAAUCAUGGAAAAACAUACUAAGCUUUUGACUCAAUGGUUUUGUUUUUCCAGUGAGUCCCUUCCAGGUUCCACGCGCCAUCUCAUAGUCACGUCUGCUGGGUGAGCUUUGAGCUAACAAACUUUAGAAGAGCUCUUUGCGAUUUUGCCACAUACAUAGAGUUUCAAGUAUCAGCUUGCUGGAAGUGCAGUGGAGAGGAAGGGAGGGAGGGAAGUGGUGUGAGCUUUGCCAACACACCUGCACAAGCUUUGGGCUCUCCUGGACACUCUGUGCACUAAUGAUGUAUAACCUGUAGAGCCUGGCAACACACUCACUGAAGACUAUAACAGACAGACUGUGCAUGCCUCUGAUUUCUAAUUUCUUAAAACAAGUAAUGCUCCCCACCCCCAAUCCUGUGCUGUAGGUAAAUGCUUAGCAUGGAAACCGAGAUGUGCUCAACUGGGCAGAGCUUCUACCAAGGCCAGCCCUUCAAGCUGCCAAGUUCUUCCUACUCUUCUCCUCCCAUCAAGGAUAGGACUGAUUGUGCCAUCUGUUGUAUCGUGAAUCUUGUCAAGAAUCAACAUAAAGACCAACCAGAAAGGUCCAAGAGCCUAAGACAAUUAAAGAACAUUGUCAUGAGCAGGCACAGGUACUUUCCCACCCUGGCUGCUGGCACUUCAGGCAAUGAUUUCCCUACAGCUCUGGAGUACGAGGGAGGAAUAGCAGACAGACAGCUCAGUGGUCUAACUUCAGGGUCCAGAGCUGGAGUAAAAGAGAUCUGGCUAUAUAUCUAUAAACUGUCUGGUGGUAUAAGAUCAUCCCCAUAUUUCCUCAAGUGUGAAUAUAUGUAUUGUGCCACAGAGUCAAUUCAAAGCCCUUCAGCUUCUAACUACUCUCAACAAAUUUGUGAUUCAUGUUGCAGAGAGUAUCA